ACCAUACGCUUCAAGGCGUUCCAAAUAUCCGCUUGGAAAUACUACAAAAACAGUGUUUCAAAACUGCUCUAUCAAAAGGAAGGAUCCACACUGUGAGUUGAAUUCACACAUCACAAAGAAGUCUCUGAGAAUUCUUCUGUCUGGGUUUAUAGGAAGAAAUCCCGUUUCCAACGAAGGCCUCAAAGAGGUCCAAAUAUCCACUUGCAGAUUCUACAGAAACAAUGUUUCCAAACUGCUCUAUCAAGAGGAAUGUUGCACUCGGUGAGUUGAAUGCACACAUCACAAAGUAGUUUCUGAGAUUGCUUCUGUCUAGGUUUUAGGUGAAGUUAUUUCCUUUUCUACUGUGGGCUUCAAUGCGCUCUAAAUAUACACAUGCAAAUAUUACAAAAAGAGUGUUUCAAAACUGCUCUAUCAAAAGAAAAGUUUUACUCUAUGAGUUGAACGCACACAUCACAAAGCAGAUUCUGAGAAUUAUUCUGUCUAGUUUUUAUAGGAAGAUGUUUCUUUUUCUGCCGUAGGCUCAAUGCGCUAUAAAUAUCCCCUUGGAAAUCCUACAAAAACAGUGUUUCCAAACUGCUCUGUGAAAAGGGAGGUUUCACUCUUUGAAUUGAAUGCACACAUCACAAAGGAGUUUCUGAGAAUUCUUCAAUCUAGAGUUACAUGAAGAAAUCCCGUUUCCAAAGAAGGCCUCCAAUAGGUCCAAAUAUCCACUUGCAGCUACUACAAGAAGGGUGUUUCAGAAACGCUCUAUCAAAAGAAACGUUACACUCUGUGAGUUGAACGCACACGUCACUAAGCACUUUCUGAGAACGAUUCUAUCUACUUUUUACAUGAAGAUGUUUCCUUUUCUAGCAGAGACUUCAAAGUGCUCUAAAUAUCCACUUGGGAAUUCUACAAAAACGGUGUCUCAAAACUGCUCUAUCAAAGGGAAUGUUCCAUUCUGUGAGUCGAAUGCACACAUCCGAUGAAGUUACUGAGAAUUCUUCUCUGUAGGUUUAGAUGGAGAAAUCCCGUUUCCAACGAAGGCCUCUAGGAGGUCCAAUUAUCCACUUGCAGAUUCUACAGAAAGAGUGUUUCAAAACUGCUCUAUCAAGAGAAAUGGUCCACCGUGUGUGUGGAAUGCAGCCAUCACACAUUAGUUUCUGAGAUUGCUUCUGUCUUGGUUUUAUGGGGAGAUAUUUCCAUUUCUAGCAUAGGCUUCAAGGCGCUCUAAAUAUCCGCUUGGAAAUACUACAAAAACAGUGUUUCAAAACUGCUGUAUCCAAAGGAAGGUGCCACUCGCUGAGUUGAAUGCACACAUCACAAAGAAGUUUCUGAGAAUUCUUCUGUCUAGAUUUAUACGAAGAAAUCCCGUUUCCAACGAAGGCCUCAAAGAAGUCCAAAUAUCCCAUUGCAAAUUCUACAAAAGGAGUGUUUCCCAACUGCUCUGUCAAGAGGAAUGUUGCACUCUGUGACUUGAAUGCAAACAUCACAUAGCAGUGUUUGAGAAUUCUUCUAUCUAGAGUAACAUGAAGAAAUCCCGUUUCCAACGAAGGCCUCAAUUGGUCUAUAGAUCCACGUGCUUCUUCUACGAAAAGAGGGUUCCAGAAAUGUUCUAUCAAAAGAAACGUUAAACUCUGUGAGUUGAACGCACACAUCACAAGCAGUUUCUGAGAACGAUUCUAUCGAGUUUUUACA
RNAcentral lists this long non-coding RNA (1677 nucleotides) under Homo sapiens (human). Its description in RNAcentral is "non-protein coding lnc-RAB23-5:3". Lineage: Eukaryota; Metazoa; Chordata; Mammalia; Primates; Hominidae. The record is from RNAcentral.